Long non-coding RNA from Nothoprocta perdicaria, 166 nucleotides. RefSeq lists it as uncharacterized. The transcript is spliced from 2 exons. Lineage: Eukaryota; Metazoa; Chordata; Aves; Tinamiformes; Tinamidae. The record is from RefSeq and is a predicted model, not a curated record.
CGGAGGAUGCGCCCGAGCCCAGCCCGGCGGCAGCAGCAGCAGCAACGCGGCGCUCCCAGCCCACCGCGAGCCAUGAGCCGUACUCCGUGCCCGGAGAGCCACCGGAGCAACCUGGCAUCCGCGCAGCUCUGCUAGGCGCUGCCGCGGGAGGAGAGCGCCGCCUCCC